This is a non-coding RNA of Vicia faba (fava bean), 267 nucleotides long. NCBI's taxonomy places the organism in Eukaryota, Viridiplantae, Streptophyta, Magnoliopsida, Fabales, Fabaceae. The record is from the annotation of a GenBank genome assembly.
AUGAAGGACAAUGGUUUGGAACCUAAUGUUCAGACAUUUAAUAUGAUUAUUUUCAGUUCAUUGAAAGGAAAAGAUCUCCAAAAGAUUAAACUGCAUCCUAAGAGUGUAAAGGAAAAUUAUAAACAUUGUACUGAAAUUGAUACAAGAUGCAAUCUAGUUUUGGAUUCGACAAGUCCUGAAGAUAUGUUACAUUACAAAAGGGGAGACAAGAUUGACAUACGAGUGAUGCGUCAGGUUAAGCUCAUAUCAUACAUGGCUGCAGUUUGA